CCCUUAGAUGUUCUGGGCCGCACGCGUGCUACACUGAGUGGAUCAGCGGGUCAGGUUGCGCGAAAGCGUUUCCUAAUCUUUAAAUCCGCUCGUGAUGGGGAUUGACGGUUGCAAUUUUCUGUCAUGAACGAGGAAUACCUUGUAAGCGCGGGUCAUCAUCCCGCGCUGAAUACGUCCCUGCUCUUUGUACACACCGCCCGUCGCUCCUACCGAUCGAGUGGUCCGGUGAGGCUUUGGGAUCUGAGCGGAAAGAGCGUUUCGCUGUUUCUGCUCGGAAAACUCAGUCGAACCUUAUCAUUUAGAGGAAGGAGAAGUCGUAACA
RNAcentral lists this ribosomal RNA (322 nucleotides) under uncultured eukaryote. Its description in RNAcentral is "partial 18S ribosomal RNA". It matches the Rfam family "Eukaryotic small subunit ribosomal RNA", at positions 1470 to 1796 of the family's 1831-position model. The record is from RNAcentral.